This 656-nucleotide ribosomal RNA is filed under the name uncultured bacterium. RNAcentral's name for it is "SSU rRNA". It matches the Rfam family "Bacterial small subunit ribosomal RNA", at positions 245 to 915 of the family's 1533-position model. The record is from RNAcentral.
CUAGUUGGUGGGGUAACGGCCUACCAAGGCGAUGAUGGGUAGCUGGUCUGAGAGGACGAUCAGCCACACUGGGACUGAGACACGGCCCAGACUCCUACGGGAGGCAGCAGUGAGGAAUUUUCCGCAAUGGGCGCAAGCCUGACGGAGCAACGCCGCGUGUGUGAUGAAGUCCUUCGGGAUGUAAAGCACUGUCGGAGGGGAUGAAUAAAUGACAGUACCCUCCAAGAAAGCCCCGGCUAACUACGUGCCAGCAGCCGCGGUAAUACGUAGGGGGCAAGCGUUAUCCGGAUUUACUGGGCGUAAAGCGCGUGUAGGUGGUUGCGUAAGUUGGUUGUGAAAUCUCCCGGCUCAACCGGGAAACUGCAAUCAAUACUGCGCGGCUAGAGUGGCAGAGAGGAAAGUGGAAUUCCCGGUGUAGUAGUGAAAUGCGUAGAUAUCGGGAGGAACACCAGCGGCGAAGGCGACUUUCUGGCUGCCAACUGACACUGAGACGCGAAAGCUAGGGGAGCGAACGGGAUUAGAUACCCCGGUAGUCCUAGCCGUAAACGAUGCACGCUAGGUGUUGGUCGUAUUGACGCGAUCAGUGCCGAAGCUAACGCAUUAAGCGUGCCGCCUGGGGAGUACGGUCGCAAGAUUAAAACUCAAAGGAAUUGACG